UCAGGACGAACGCUGGCGGCGUGCCUAAUACAUGCAAGUCGAGCGAACCACUUCGGUGGUUAGCGGCGGACGGGUGAGUAACACGUGGGCAACCUGCCUGUAAGACUGGGAUAACUUCGGGAAACCGGAGCUAAUACCGGAUAAUCCUUUUCCUCUCAUGAGGAAAAGCUGAAAGACGGUUUCGGCUGUCACUUACAGAUGGGCCCGCGGCGCAUUAGCUAGUUGGUGAGGUAACGGCUCACCAAGGCGACGAUGCGUAGCCGACCUGAGAGGGUGAUCGGCCACACUGGGACUGAGACACGGCCCAGACUCCUACGGGAGGCAGCAGUAGGGAAUCUUCCACAAUGGACGAAAGUCUGAUGGAGCAACGCCGCGUGAGCGAUGAAGGCCUUCGGGUCGUAAAGCUCUGUUGUUAGGGAAGAACAAGUACCGGAGU
RNAcentral lists this ribosomal RNA (436 nucleotides) under Bacillus sp. R-32850. RNAcentral's name for it is "bacterial SSU rRNA". It matches the Rfam family "Bacterial small subunit ribosomal RNA", at positions 24 to 462 of the family's 1533-position model. The record is from RNAcentral. Lineage: Bacteria; Bacillati; Bacillota; Bacilli; Caryophanales; Bacillaceae.